GAUUGGGUGGAGCCCGCGCGCGCGCCGCGCUGAUUGGCCGGCGCGGGCCGGGCCGGGCGCGCGGCGCCGCUUCUUAACGCGCGUCGCGGGGCGGCGGGAGCGCUGAGCGCCGCGGGGCCGCUGCCGCUGUCACUGCCGCUGUCGCGACAUGAGCGAGAGACAAGGAACCGGGGCUACAAAUGGGAAAGACAAGACGUCUGGUGAGAAUGGAGGUAGAAGUCAGAAGAACUGCAGCAUUCCUGCAGUAUUGAAAUCAGGAGAAGCCCAAGGAAAUCAUCAUGAGGUGCCUCAUUCAAGUGGGCAUUUGAACAUCUGAAAGGUGGUGGUAGCCCAGCUCCUUUCUGAGAAACUGUCUGGAAAAUCAGCCAAG
Molecule: long non-coding RNA, 370 nt
Filed under: Chloebia gouldiae (Gouldian finch)
Lineage: Eukaryota; Metazoa; Chordata; Aves; Passeriformes; Passeridae
Description: Erythrura gouldiae (Gouldian finch) lncRNA (ENSEGOG00005006564.1)
Source: RNAcentral